This 1190-nucleotide long non-coding RNA is filed under the name Cairina moschata (Muscovy duck). RNAcentral's name for it is "domestica (muscovy Duck (domestic type)) lncRNA (ENSCMMG00000008424.1)". Lineage: Eukaryota; Metazoa; Chordata; Aves; Anseriformes; Anatidae. The record is from RNAcentral.
GUGGCUUCCAGCAGCCCCUCUGCAGACCCAUCUGCACUUCAGUCCCUGCUGCCGGAGUUGUCCUGAAGAGGACAGCCCUGUGGAUGAGCUACAUGAGCCUCGUAAAUCCUUACGGGCAUGUAAGGCCACAGCACUGCCACUGCCCGAGCACCCAGUCAUGGCCCAAGGCCCUUCUCUGCACCAGAACUGAAGAACUUUCUGGAGUUUGCAUGGAGGAGAGAACAAAGUGUGUGCUCUCACUGCAGAUGCAGUGCUGGGCAAGGUCCCUGACACAUUGAUUCCAGUGAAUUCUUCUCAUGCCUGAGAAAAACAAACGCAAAUCUCCCACCUGCCGUCCACCAGUGGAGAACUGGAAGCAGAACUAUCAACUUAUCAUGCGAGUGGACACACUGUCCAUCAGCAGCCACCAAAAACCCAAGCCUAGACAUAGCUAAUUACACCACCAGAAAGCCUGGGGAGCUCCGGAGGGCAGCAGCCGCAGCCCUGCCCCGCGUCCUGCAGCUCCACCAGCACCGUCAGGCACCGCGAGCAAGGAGACAAAGGAAAGUAAGAGCAGAGCAGCUGCAGCACCAAUGACCUUCCACCCCUCCAGGUUUUAGGAAUUCUUUUAUUAUACAGAAAAUACAGAUUUUAAAGCCUUUGUGGAUGAGCGUACAGUCUUUAUUUCCAUCUGUUAUUUUAGGUGAUCAAAAAGUAAAAGAUGUGUCAGAUUCCAGAGCAGACUUGAGGCAACAGUAAAUGGAGCAGUGGCUCCCACACUACUACCACCAAACAUGGAUUUUUUUAAACCUGUGUUUUUUUCGUCAUCUAAUCCAACUGUAAUUGUACCUGGGCCACCAUCGCAUGCAGCCCCUCUCCAGUCAGGCAGGUGGACGCACACAAACCCAGGUCACGCUGAAUGCGGGUGUUACCGUUGAUAAGAAAUGGCUGAAUAAAUAAGACUUCAAAUUUUCAUUUGUUUGUUUUUGCUAUUACCAUUGCAUGAAAACCAUUGACUAGUAACCAGAAGGACACUUUGCAUUUCAGUUGCUGCAAAGGGCCAGCUUCCCCUCCCCACAGGCAGCUCGGCAUUGCCAGAGCCCUGCGGCACAGAGGACGGCCCCAUCCCAUCCCUGUGAGCUGCACUCUGAAACCUGCCAGCCAGAAAAGCACUGCUCCAGACCCAGAUGCACCAACUGAGCAGAUCAUAC